RNAcentral lists this ribosomal RNA (446 nucleotides) under uncultured bacterium. Its description in RNAcentral is "bacterial SSU rRNA". It matches the Rfam family "Bacterial small subunit ribosomal RNA", at positions 335 to 799 of the family's 1533-position model. The record is from RNAcentral.
ACUCCUACGGGAGGCAGCAGUGGGGAAUAUUGGACAAUGGGCGCAAGCCUGAUCCAGCCAUGCCGCGUGAGUGAUGAAGGCCUUAGGGUUGUAAAGCUCUUUUGUCCGGGACGAUAAUGACGGUACCGGAAGAAUAAGCCCCGGCUAACUUCGUGCCAGCAGCCGCGGUAAUACGAAGGGGCUAGCGUUGCUCGGAAUCACUGGGCGUAAAGGGCGCGUAGGCGGCCGAUUAAGUCGGGGGUGAAAGCCUGUGGCUCAACCACAGAAUUGCCUUCGAUACUGGUUGGCUUGAGACCGGAAGAGGACAGCGGAACUGCGAGUGUAGAGGUGAAAUUCGUAGAUAUUCGCAAGAACACCAGUGGCGAAGGCGGCUGUCUGGUCCGGUUCUGACGCUGAGGCGCGAAAGCGUGGGGAGCAAACAGGAUUAGAUACCCUGGUAGACUGUC